RNAcentral lists this ribosomal RNA (253 nucleotides) under uncultured bacterium. RNAcentral's name for it is "partial 16S ribosomal RNA". It matches the Rfam family "Bacterial small subunit ribosomal RNA", at positions 524 to 776 of the family's 1533-position model. The record is from RNAcentral.
UACGGAGGGUGCAAGCGUUGUCCGGAUUUAUUGGGUUUAAAGGGUGCGUAGGCGGUUUUGUAAGUCAGUGGUGAAAGCUAGCAGCUUAACUGUUAAACUGCCAUUGAUACUGCAAAGCUUGAGUUCAGAUGAGGUAGGCGGAAUUUAUAGUGUAGCGGUGAAAUGCUUAGAUACUAUAAAGAACUCCGAUAGCGUAGGCAGCUUACUAAACUGAUACUGACGCUGAGGCACGAAAGUGUGGGGAUCAAACAGG